Molecule: ribosomal RNA, 492 nt
Filed under: uncultured bacterium
Lineage: Bacteria
Description: bacterial SSU rRNA
Rfam family: Bacterial small subunit ribosomal RNA
Source: RNAcentral
GAUGAACGUUAGCGGCAGGCUUAAUACAUGCAAGUCGUGGGGCAGCAUGAAGUAGCAAUACUUUGAUGGCGACCGGCAAACGGGUGCGGAACACGUACACAACCUUCCUUUUAGUGGGGAAUAGCCCAGAGAAAUUUGGAUUAAUACCCCGUAACAUAGCGAUGUGGCAUCACAUUGCUAUUAUAGCUUCGGCGCUAGAUGAUGGGUGUGCGUAUGAUUAGAUAGUUGGCGAGAUAACGGCUCACCAAGUCUACGAUCAUUAGCUGAUGUGAGAGCAUGAUCAGCCACACGGGCACUGAGACACGGGCCCGACUCCUACGGGAGGCAGCAGUAAGGAAUAUUGGUCAAUGGACGAAAGUCUGAACCAGCCAUGCCGCGUGAAGGAUUAAGGUCCUCUGGAUUGUAAACUUCUUUUAUACAGAACGAAAAGGUUUCUAUUAAUACUAGAGGCUCAUGACGGUACUGUAAGAAUAAGCACCGGCUAACUACGUG